RNAcentral lists this ribosomal RNA (439 nucleotides) under uncultured bacterium. Its description in RNAcentral is "partial 16S ribosomal RNA". It matches the Rfam family "Bacterial small subunit ribosomal RNA", at positions 339 to 795 of the family's 1533-position model. The record is from RNAcentral.
CUACGGGUCGCUCCAGUGAGGAAUAUUGCACAAUGGGGGGAACCCUGAUGCAGCAACGCCGCGUGGAGGAUGACGCAUUUCGGUGUGUAAACUCCUUUUAUAUGUCAAGAAAAUGACGGUAGCAUAUGAAUAAGCACCGGCUAACUCCGUGCCAGCAGCCGCGGUAAUACGGAGGGUGCAAGCGUUAUUCGGAAUCACUGGGCGUAAAGGACGCGUAGGCGGGUUGGAAAGUCAGGUGUGAAAUCCCACAGCUUAACUGUAGAACUGCACUUGAAACUUCUAAUCUAGAGUAUGGGAGGGGGAGAUGGAAUUAGUGGUGUAGGGGUAAAAUCCGUAGAUAUCACUAGGAAUACCUAAAGCGAAGGUGAUCUCCUGGAACAUUACUGACGCUAAGGCGUGAAAGCGUGGGGAGCAAACAGGAUUAGAUACCCUCGUAGUC